AGAACGAACGCUGGCGGCAGGCUUAACACAUGCAAGUCGAACGCUCGUAGCAAUACGGGAGUGGCAGACGGGUGAGUAACGCGUGGGAACAUACCCUCCGGUUCGGAAUAGCUCAGGGAAACUUGGAUUAAUACCGGAUACGGCUGAGAGGCGAAAGAUUUAUCGCCGGAGGAUUGGCCCGCGUUCGAUUAGCUUGUUGGUGAGGUAACGGCUCACCAAGGCGAUGAUCGAUAGCUGGUCUGAGAGGAUGAUCAGCCACAUUGGGACUGAGACACGGCCCAAACUCCUACGGGAGGCAGCAGUGGGGAAUAUUGGACAAUGGGCGCAAGCCUGAUCCAGCCAUGCCGCGUGAGUCGAUGACGGCCUUAGGGUUGUAAAGCUCUUUCGCUCGGGACGAUAAUGACGGUACCGAGAUAAGAAGCCCGGCUAACUUCGCGCCAGCAGCCGC
This 448-nucleotide ribosomal RNA is filed under the name uncultured bacterium. RNAcentral describes it as "SSU rRNA". It matches the Rfam family "Bacterial small subunit ribosomal RNA", at positions 26 to 518 of the family's 1533-position model. The record is from RNAcentral.